Molecule: ribosomal RNA, 253 nt
Filed under: uncultured bacterium
Lineage: Bacteria
Description: partial 16S ribosomal RNA
Rfam family: Bacterial small subunit ribosomal RNA
Source: RNAcentral
UACGAAGGGGACUAGCGUUGUUCGGAUUUACUGGGCGUAAAGCGCGCGUAGGCGGAUCGCUAAGUCAGGGGUGAAAUCCCAGGGCUCAACCCUGGAACUGCCUUUGAUACUGACGGUCUGGAGAUCGGGAGAGGUUGGUGGAAUUCCGAGUGUAGAGGUGAAAUUCGUAGAUAUUCGGAGGAACACCAGAAGCGAAGGCGGCCAUCUGGACGAUCACUGACGCUGAGACGCGAAAGCGUGGGGAGCGAACAGG